AUCCAUCAGACGAGUCCCAAAUAGGACGAAAUGCGCAUCCUGGAU
This 45-nucleotide non-coding RNA is filed under the name Trichobilharzia regenti. Lineage: Eukaryota; Metazoa; Platyhelminthes; Trematoda; Strigeidida; Schistosomatidae. The record is from RNAcentral.